RNAcentral lists this ribosomal RNA (381 nucleotides) under uncultured bacterium. RNAcentral describes it as "bacterial SSU rRNA". It matches the Rfam family "Bacterial small subunit ribosomal RNA", at positions 29 to 428 of the family's 1533-position model. The record is from RNAcentral.
AAUGAACGUUGGCGGCAUGGAUUAGGCAUGCAAGUCGAGCGAGAAGUGUAGCAAUACACGGAAAGCGGCGGAAGGGAGAGUAAUACGUGGGAAUCUGCCCUUAGACCUGGGAUAGCAGCGGGAAACUGCUGGUAAUACCAGAUAAUGUCUAUGGACCAAAGGUGUGAUUCCGUCUAGGGAUGAGCCCACGUCCUAUUAGCUAGUUGGUAGGGUAAUGGCCUACCAAGGCGAUGAUGGGUAGCGGGUGUGAGAGCAUGACCCGCCUCACUGGGACUGAGACACUGCCCAGACACCUACGGGUGGCUGCAGUCGAGAAUCUUCGGCAAUGGGCGCAAGCCUGACCGAGCGAUGCCGCGUGCGGGAUGAAGGCCUCGGUUGUAA